GAUGAACGCUGGCGGUAUGCUUAACACAUGCAAGUCGAACGGACUCUUCGGAGUUAGUGGCGGACGGGUGAGUAACGCGUGAGAAUCUGGCUUUGGGUUCGGGACAACCACUGGAAACGGUGGCUAAUACCGGAUGUGCCGAGAGGUAAAAGAGAAAUUGCCUGAAGAUGAGCUCGCGUCUGAUUAGCUAGUUGGUGAGGUAAAGGCUCACCAAGGCAGCGAUCAGUAGCUGGUCUGAGAGGAUGACCAGCCACACUGGGACUGAGGCACGGCCCAGACUCCUACGGGAGGCAGCAGUGGGGAAUUGUCCGCAAUGGGCGAAAGCCUGACGGAGCAAUACCGCGUGAGGGAAGAAGGCUCUUGGGUUGUAAACCUCUUUUCUUAGGGAAGAACAAAAUGACGGUACCUAAGGAAUCAGCAUCGGCUAACUCCGUG
This 435-nucleotide ribosomal RNA is filed under the name uncultured bacterium. RNAcentral's name for it is "partial 16S ribosomal RNA". It matches the Rfam family "Bacterial small subunit ribosomal RNA", at positions 28 to 507 of the family's 1533-position model. The record is from RNAcentral.